This 743-nucleotide ribosomal RNA is filed under the name uncultured Gammaproteobacteria bacterium. RNAcentral's name for it is "bacterial SSU rRNA". It matches the Rfam family "Bacterial small subunit ribosomal RNA", at positions 61 to 795 of the family's 1533-position model. The record is from RNAcentral. Lineage: Bacteria; Pseudomonadati; Pseudomonadota; Gammaproteobacteria.
GUCGAGCGGUAGCACAGAGAGCUUGCUCUCGGGUGACAAGCGGCGGACGGGUGAGUAACGCGUAGGAAUCUACCUAAUAGUGGGGGAUAGCCCAGGGAAACUUGGAUUAAUACCGCAUACGCCCUAAGGGGGAAAGCGGGGGAUCUUCGGACCUCGUGCUAUUAGAUGAGCCUGCGUAAGAUUAGCUAGUUGGUGAGGUAAGAGCUCACCAAGGCGACGAUCUUUAGCUGGUCUGAGAGGAUGAUCAGCCACACUGGGACUGAGACACGGCCCAGACUCCUACGGGAGGCAGCAGUGGGGAAUAUUGGACAAUGGGGGCAACCCUGAUCCAGCCAUGCCGCGUGUGUGAAGAAGGCCUUCGGGUUGUAAAGCACUUUCAGAUGUGAGGAAAGGUUGCAGAUUAAUACUCUGUAGCUGUGACGUUAACAUCAGAAGAAGGACCGGCUAACUCCGUGCCAGCAGCCGCGGUAAUACGGAGGGUCCGAGCGUUAAUCGGAAUUACUGGGCGUAAAGAGCUCGUAGGCGGUUUGUCGCGUCUGCUGUGAAAGACCGGGGCUCAACUCCGGUUCUGCAGUGGGUACGGGCAGACUAGAGUGCAGUAGGGGAGACUGGAAUUCCUGGUGUAGCGGUGAAAUGCGCAGAUAUCAGGAGGAACACCGAUGGCGAAGGCAGGUCUCUGGGCUGUAACUGACGCUGAGGAGCGAAAGCAUGGGGAGCGAACAGGAUUAGAUACCCUGGUAGAA